Molecule: ribosomal RNA, 467 nt
Filed under: uncultured bacterium
Lineage: Bacteria
Description: partial 16S ribosomal RNA
Rfam family: Bacterial small subunit ribosomal RNA
Source: RNAcentral
GACGAACGCUGGCGACGUGCUUAACACAUGCAAGUCGAACGGAAAGGCCCUGCUUUUGUGGGGUGCUCGAGUGGCGAACGGGUGAGUAACACGUGAGUAACCUGCCCUUGACUUUGGGAUAACUUCAGGAAACUGGGGCUAAUACCGGAUAGGAGCUCCUGCUGCAUGGUGGGGGUUGGAAAGUUUCGGCGGUUGGGGAUGGACUCGCGGCUUAUCAGCUUGUUGGUGGGGUAGUGGCUUACCAAGGCUUUGACGGGUAGCCGGCCUGAGAGGGUGACCGGCCACAUUGGGACUGAGAUACGGCCCAGACUCCUACGGGAGGCAGCAGUGGGGAAUAUUGCACAAUGGGCGGAAGCCUGAUGCAGCAACGCCGCGUGCGGGAUGACGGCCUUCGGGUUGUAAACCGCUUUCGCCUGUGACGAAGCGUGAGUGACGGUAAUGGGUAAAGAAGCACCGGCUAACUACGU